GUGAGGAAUAUUGCGCAAUGGAGGCAACUCUGACGCAGCCAUGCCGCGUGCAGGAAGAAGGCGCUACGCGUUGUAAACUGCUUUUGAAUGGGAAGAAACGUAGCUUUGCGAAGCUAUUUGACGGUACUAUUAGAAUAAGCACCGGCUAACUCCGUGCCAGCAGCCGCGGUAAUACGGAGGGUGCAAGCGUUAUCCGGAUUUAUUGGGUUUAAAGGGUGCGUAGGCGGCUUUAUAAGUCUGGGGUUAAAGGCGGCAGCUUAACUGUACGCAUGCCCUGGAAACUGUGAAGCUUGAGUGACUUGGAGGUAGCUAGAAUUCCCUGUGUAGCGGUGAAAUGCAUAGAUACGGGGAGGAAUACCGAUUGCGAAGGCAUGUUACUACGAGUAAACUGACGCUGAUGCACGAAAGCGUGGGGAUCAAACAGGAUUAGAAACCCGAGUAGUCC
RNAcentral lists this ribosomal RNA (445 nucleotides) under uncultured bacterium. RNAcentral describes it as "partial 16S ribosomal RNA". It matches the Rfam family "Bacterial small subunit ribosomal RNA", at positions 354 to 796 of the family's 1533-position model. The record is from RNAcentral.